Long non-coding RNA from Daphnia magna, 799 nucleotides. RefSeq lists it as uncharacterized. The record is from RefSeq and is a predicted model, not a curated record. NCBI's taxonomy places the organism in Eukaryota, Metazoa, Arthropoda, Branchiopoda, Diplostraca, Daphniidae. The transcript has 3 exons.
CGGAGCACAUAAAUAAAAUAUUCUCUAGUUUUUCGUUUGAAUCAAAUUUACAGUUGAAAAUGCCAAAUGCCAAAAGUGGUCUCAAGAAGUAUUGUUGUUUCAGACACAAAAGAUCACGAAGGAAAACCUCUCGAAUCCUAUUACUGUUUGUUUGGUUAGUUUACAUUAAUUUUACGUAGUUUCCAUGGAGCUAGCAUCUUUCUAGUAUUCAUUAAAAAUCAAUUUUUUGUUUAGAUUCCCUGUUAGAUAAAUUGCCACUGAGAAAAAGGAAUGGCUCUUGUGUCAUUAUUGGUUCCAAUUUCCAAACAGGUGAACAAAACAAACUGUGGUCCUGAUGAGAUGGUUUACAUUAGAUGUGAAGAAGUCAUUGAAAACAGCAUAAAUGAUUUUGUAGCAAGUGUGGCCGUCAACUAUACCACAAGCAAAACCCAAACAGCAAUAUAACUUAUUAUAAUUUCUGCUUCAGAGAGUCAGGUGAAGGAAGUUAAGAAACGUGUUGAAUGCAUCAUGUGCAGCUGUAAGGUGCUAAAAAACAACCACAGAAGACACUCGUAACAAAACAGAACAAGGAUAUGGUAUUUAAGAUAGGUAAAUUCUCUUCUGCCACUGUGUCUUCUAUCGAAGAUGAAGACGAAAUCGAAGAGCGAGAAGUGUCCGAGCCGUAAGCUAAUAACGCGCGAUUUAUUGAGAAACAAAAAGUUUGCAAGGAAAGGAGUUUUGAAACGCAAGACGGACAUUCCUGAAGUUGAAACACCAAAAAACUUGUUCGGGGAACGUUAAUCUAUAAGUGCAAUUUGCU